GAUGAACGCUGGCGGCGUGCCUAAUACAUGCAAGUCGAGCGAACAGACGAGGAGCUUGCUCCUCUGACGUUAGCGGCGGACGGGUGAGUAACACGUGGAUAACCUACCUAUAAGACUGGGAUAACUUCGGGAAACCGGCGCUAAUACCGGAUAAUAUAUUGAACCGCAUUGUUCAAUAGUGAAAGACGGUUUUGCUGUCACUUAUAGAUGGAUCCGCGCCGCAUUAGCUAGUUGGUAAGGUAACGGCUUACCAAGGCAACGAUGCGUAGCCGACCUGAGAGGGUGAUCGGCCACACUGGAACUGAGACACGGUCCAGACUCCUACGGGAGGCAGCAGUAGGGAAUCUUCCGCAAUGGGCGAAAGCCUGACGGAGCAACGCCGCGUGAGUGAUGAAGGUCUUCGGAUCGUAAAACUCUGUUAUUAGGGAAGAACAAAUGUGUAAGUAACUAUGCACGUCUUGACGGUACCUAAUCAGAAAGCCACGGCUAACUACGUG
Molecule: ribosomal RNA, 497 nt
Filed under: uncultured bacterium
Lineage: Bacteria
Description: partial 16S ribosomal RNA
Rfam family: Bacterial small subunit ribosomal RNA
Source: RNAcentral